This 1542-nucleotide ribosomal RNA is filed under the name Escherichia coli. RNAcentral's name for it is "bacterial SSU rRNA". It matches the Rfam family "Bacterial small subunit ribosomal RNA". Lineage: Bacteria; Pseudomonadati; Pseudomonadota; Gammaproteobacteria; Enterobacterales; Enterobacteriaceae. The record is from RNAcentral.
AAAUUGAAGAGUUUGAUCAUGGCUCAGAUUGAACGCUGGCGGCAGGCCUAACACAUGCAAGUCGAACGGUAACAGGAAGCAGCUUGCUGCUUCGCUGACGAGUGGCGGACGGGUGAGUAAUGUCUGGGAAGCUGCCUGAUGGAGGGGGAUAACUACUGGAAACGGUAGCUAAUACCGCAUAAUGUCGCAAGACCAAAGAGGGGGACCUUCGGGCCUCUUGCCAUCGGAUGUGCCCAGAUGGGAUUAGCUUGUUGGUGGGGUAACGGCUCACCAAGGCGACGAUCCCUAGCUGGUCUGAGAGGAUGACCAGCCACACUGGAACUGAGACACGGUCCAGACUCCUACGGGAGGCAGCAGUGGGGAAUAUUGCACAAUGGGCGCAAGCCUGAUGCAGCCAUGCCGCGUGUAUGAAGAAGGCCUUCGGGUUGUAAAGUACUUUCAGCGGGGAGGAAGGGAGUAAAGUUAAUACCUUUGCUCAUUGACGUUACCCGCAGAAGAAGCACCGGCUAACUCCGUGCCAGCAGCCGCGGUAAUACGGAGGGUGCAAGCGUUAAUCGGAAUUACUGGGCGUAAAGCGCACGCAGGCGGUUUGUUAAGUCAGAUGUGAAAUCCCCGGGCUCAACCUGGGAACUGCAUCUGAUACUGGCAAGCUUGAGUCUCGUAGAGGGGGGUAGAAUUCCAGGUGUAGCGGUGAAAUGCGUAGAGAUCUGGAGGAAUACCGGUGGCGAAGGCGGCCCCCUGGACGAAGACUGACGCUCAGGUGCGAAAGCGUGGGGAGCAAACAGGAUUAGAUACCCUGGUAGUCCACGCCGUAAACGAUGUCGACUUGGAGGUUGUGCCCUUGAGGCGUGGCUUCCGGAGCUAACGCGUUAAGUCGACCGCCUGGGGAGUACGGCCGCAAGGUUAAAACUCAAAUGAAUUGACGGGGGCCCGCACAAGCGGUGGAGCAUGUGGUUUAAUUCGAUGCAACGCGAAGAACCUUACCUGGUCUUGACAUCCACGGAAGUUUUCAGAGAUGAGAAUGUGCCUUCGGGAACCGUGAGACAGGUGCUGCAUGGCUGUCGUCAGCUCGUGUUGUGAAAUGUUUGGUUAAGUCACGCAACGAGCGCAACCCUUAUCCUUUGUUGCCAGCGGUCCGGCCGGGAACUCAAAGGAGACUGCCAGUGAUAAACUGGAGGAAGGUGGGGAUGACGUCAAGUCAUCAUGGCCCUUACGACCAGGGCUACACACGUGCUACAAUGGCGCAUACAAAGAGAAGCGACCUCGCGAGAGCAAGCGGACCUCAUAAAGUGCGUCGUAGUCCGGAUUGGAGUCUGCAACUCGACUCCAUGAAGUCGGAAUCGCUAGUAAUCGUGGAUCAGAAUGCCACGGUGAAUACGUUCCCGGGCCUUGUACACACCGCCCGUCACACCAUGGGAGUGGGUUGCAAAAGAAGUAGGUAGCUUAACCUUCGGGAGGGCGCUUACCACUUUGUGAUUCAUGACUGGGGUGAAGUCGUAACAAGGUAACCGUAGGGGAACCUGCGGUUGGAUCACCUCCUUA